This 483-nucleotide ribosomal RNA is filed under the name uncultured Flavobacteriaceae bacterium. Its description in RNAcentral is "bacterial SSU rRNA". It matches the Rfam family "Bacterial small subunit ribosomal RNA", at positions 562 to 1050 of the family's 1533-position model. Lineage: Bacteria; Pseudomonadati; Bacteroidota; Flavobacteriia; Flavobacteriales; Flavobacteriaceae. The record is from RNAcentral.
AAAGGGUCCGCAGGCGGCCAGAUAAGUCAGUGGUGAAAUUCCGUGGCUCAACCACGGAACUGCCAUUGAUACUGUUUGGCUUGAAUCAGUUCGAGGAUGCCGGAAUGUGUGGUGUAGCGGUGAAAUGCAUAGAUAUCACACAGAACACCAAUUGCGAAGGCAGGUGUCCAGAACUGUAUUGACGCUGAUGGACGAAAGCGUGGGUAGCGAACAGGAUUAGAUACCCUGGUAGUCCACGCCGUAAACGAUGGUCACUAGCUGUCCGGACUUAGGUCUGGGUGGCCAAGCGAAAGUGAUAAGUGACCCACCUGGGGAGUACGGUCGCAAGAAUGAAACUCAAAGGAAUUGACGGGGGCCCGCACAAGCGGUGGAGCAUGUGGUUUAAUUCGAUGAUACGCGAGGAACCUUACCAGGGCUUAAAUGUAGUCUGACAGCUUUAGAGAUAGAGUUUUCUUCGGACAGAUUACAAGGUGCUGCAUGGUU